UGGCUUAGUGGUAGAGCACUUGCCUAGCAUGUAUGAGGCCCUGAGUUCAAUCCUCAG
RNAcentral lists this transfer RNA (57 nucleotides) under Ictidomys tridecemlineatus (thirteen-lined ground squirrel). RNAcentral describes it as "Spermophilus tridecemlineatus (thirteen-lined ground squirrel) tRNA". It matches the Rfam family "tRNA", at positions 8 to 63 of the family's 71-position model. From Rfam's summary of the family: Transfer RNA (tRNA) molecules are approximately 80 nucleotides in length. Their secondary structure includes four short double-helical elements and three loops (D, anti-codon, and T loops). Further hydrogen bonds mediate the characteristic L-shaped molecular structure. tRNAs have two regions of fundamental functional importance: the anti-codon, which is responsible for specific mRNA codon recognition, and the 3' end, to which the tRNAs corresponding amino acid is attached (by aminoacyl-tRNA synthetases). tRNAs cope with the degeneracy of the genetic code in two manners: having more than one tRNA (with a specific anti-codon) for a particular amino acid; and 'wobble' base-pairing, i.e. permitting non-standard base-pairing at the 3rd anti-codon position. The record is from Rfam by way of RNAcentral. Lineage: Eukaryota; Metazoa; Chordata; Mammalia; Rodentia; Sciuridae.